ACUUCACAGAGGAAGAUGAAGUUGGCGGUGCUCAGCAUGGCCCUGCUCUUCACCAUCCUGCUCUGCACCCCAGCAGAUGCUCAGCCACUAUUUGAAGCCAGUGGAGGAUACUGUGUUGGAGGGGAAAUGGAAAUGGGGCGAGUGAAGAGGGCUGAGCCCCCUCUGGUGGAUCUUGUGCGCCGCAGACGCAUGGCUGCAGCUGCUGAUGCCUAGGGGAGCAGCACCAGGAGCCCCAGCAAGGAUCCUGGAGCCACCCAGAACUGGUGGUGCCACCCUUGUCCUGUCCCCCUCCAGCGGCAUGAGGAGAUCAUCAUCCCUGGAUGAACCCAGCCCAUUCCUGGGAGCCCUAUGCCCUUUCCCUCUCCUGAUCAAUA
Long non-coding RNA from Apus apus (common swift), 374 nucleotides. RefSeq lists it as uncharacterized. The transcript has 4 exons. Lineage: Eukaryota; Metazoa; Chordata; Aves; Apodiformes; Apodidae. The record is from RefSeq and is a predicted model, not a curated record.